RNAcentral lists this transfer RNA (72 nucleotides) under Mustela putorius furo (domestic ferret). It matches the Rfam family "tRNA". Rfam says of the family: Transfer RNA (tRNA) molecules are approximately 80 nucleotides in length. Their secondary structure includes four short double-helical elements and three loops (D, anti-codon, and T loops). Lineage: Eukaryota; Metazoa; Chordata; Mammalia; Carnivora; Mustelidae. The record is from Rfam by way of RNAcentral.
GCCUGGCUGGCUCACUGGUAGAGCAAGAGACUCUGGGUCUCCGGGUCAUGAGUUCAAGCCCCAUGUUGGGUG